AUGAGUUCAGACAAACAUAAUCAGGCUGCUAAAGAGGAGUUUACUUUCUUCGGCAGAGGAACCAGAUUAACGGUUUUAGCUGUUCUGAGUCUCGGCUCAGAAAGUUCAAACUCGGGUCAGAACCAGGCUCAGUUUGGUCCAAGAACCAAACUGUGUUCUUGGUCAAGUGUGACAGACAGAGAGAGGCAGCAGGAAGAGUUUUGUUCCAGUCUGGAGUCUCUGUGCUCCUACAACGAGGCUUACUUUGGGGCUGGAACUAAACUCACCGUUUUAGAAGGUCUGGCUCUACGCCCAGAUUAUUCCUCUGUGUCGGUUCUUAUCAGCUCUCCGUUUCUCAGUGUGAACUAUGAUCCUGCUUACUUUGGAGCUGGAACUAAACUCACCGUUUUAGAACCAGGCCGAUCCCCCACAGAACCAACUGUAGAAGUCUUUAAACCUUCAGCUAAAGAGUGCAACGACCCAAACAAGAAAAGGAAGAAGACUCUGGUUUGUGUGGCCUCUGGUUUCUACCCAGAUCAUGUCAGCGUGUCCUGGACGCUUAAUGGGGUCCAGACAGGUAAAGGUGUGGCGACAGACAGCACAGCCAAGAGGGACGGGGACUCCUACAGAAUCACCAGCAGGCUGAAGGUCCAGGCUAAGGACUGGUUCAGACCUGGGAAUCGUUUCACCUGCACCGUCAGCUUCUUUAAUGGAACCAUCACCACCCCUCAUUCUGCUUCAGUUUCAUCAACUGAAACAGAUAAAGGCAUGACUCGAGAGAAAUAUCUGAGGAUCACUCAGAACGCCAAACUCUCCUAUGUGGUUCUGAUUGUGAAGAGCUGCAUCUACGGGGCCUUUGUUUGCUUUUUGGUCUGGAAGCUUCAGAGUUCAGCUGGAAAACGGAACAAGUGAGAUCCGAGCUGAAGCCUGAACAAACCAACAAGCUUUACGAGGAACAUUUUCUGGUUUCUGUAAAUAAAAUGUGUAGAAAACAGAACAUUCAGUUUGUGUUGCUGGGAAUUUAUGUUGAAAUCAGCUGAUUUGACCCUUCAGAACCUGUGAGGCUUUUAUUAUUAGAAAACAAACAGAUCUUUUUCCAUUUCUGACUGUUUCUAACUCUUCAUUUAAAGAUUUUUUACAUAUAAAAUGUUUUUGAUCUGGUGAGGUGAGCUUCUUUCUGUUCAUCACUUGUUCCAGAGCUGGUGUCAGAUAUUUUUAUCUGCUUCUUUUCUCAUAAUAAGGUGAAACAUCUCAGCUCAGGAAGAUUUCCAACGCUGGCUGAAGUGACUCAUUACAAGAUUCUUCAAUAAAACAACUUUUCUGAUGACUUUUCUUUAAUCUUUUGUUUCUUGUAUAAAACAAAUAAUAAAAGUGUGAAAACUUUA
Molecule: non-coding RNA, 1364 nt
Organism: Nothobranchius furzeri (turquoise killifish)
Lineage: Eukaryota; Metazoa; Chordata; Actinopteri; Cyprinodontiformes; Nothobranchiidae
Source: the annotation of a RefSeq genome assembly